UCACGGAUCCAGACUUUGAUCCUGGCUCAGGACGAACGCUGGCGGCGUGCCUAAUACAUGCAAGUCGAACGAGCUCUCCCAAAUUGAUUAUGCUUGCAUAAAUGAUUUUUGGAUUCGGAGCGAGUGGCGAACUGGUGAGUAACACGUGGGUAACCUGCCCCAAAGCGGGGGAUAACAUUUGGAAACAAAUGCUAAUACCGCAUAAUUAGUUGGAACCGCAUGGUUCCAACUUGAAAGAUGGCUCUGCUAUCACUUUGGGAUGGACCCGCGCCGUAUUAGUUAGUUGGUGAGAUAAAAGCCCACCAAGACGAUGAUACGUAGCCGACCUGAGAGGGUAAUCGGCCACAUUGGGACUGAGACACGGCCCAGACUCCUACGGGAGGCAGCAGUAGGGAAUCUUCCACAAUGGACGAAAGUCUGAUGGAGCAACGCCGCGUGAGUGAUGAAGGUUUUCGGAUCGUAAAACUCUGUUGUUAAAGAAGAACAAGUGUUAGAGUAACUGUUAACACUUUGACGGUAUUUAACCAGAAAGCCACGGCUAACUACGUGCCAGCAGCCGCGGUAAUACGUAGGUGGCAAGCGUUGUCCGGAUUUAUUGGGCGUAAAGCGAGCGCAGGCGGUUUUGUAAGUCUGCUGUGAAAGCCCUCAGCUCAACUGAGGAAGUGCAGUGGAAACUACAAAACUUGAGUACAGAAGAGGAAAGUGGAACUCCAUGUGUAGCGGUGAAAUGCGUAGAUAUAUGGAAGAACACCAGUGGCGAAGGCGGCUUUCUGGUCUGUUACUGACGCUGAGGCUCGAAAGCAUGGGUAGCGAACAGGAUUAGAUACCCUGGUAGUCCAUGCCGUAAACGAUGAAUACUAGGUGUUGGAGGGUUUCCGCCCUUCAGUGCCGCAGCUAACGCAUUAAGUAUUCCGCCUGGGGAGUACGACCGCAAGGUUGAAACUCAAAGGAAUUGACGGGGGCCCGCACAAGUGGUGGAGCAUGUGGUUUAAUUCGAUGCUACGCGAAGAACCUUACCAGCUCUUGACAUCUUCUGCCAACCCAAGAGAUUGGGCGUUCCCUUCGGGGACAGAAUGACAGGUGGUGCAUGGUUGUCGUCAGCUCGUGUCGUGAGAUGUUGGGUUAAGUCCCGCAACGAGCGCAACCCUUAUUAUUAGUUGCCAGCAUUUAGUUGGGCACUUCUAGUGAGACUGGCCGGUGAAUAAACCGGAGGAAGGUGGGG
Molecule: ribosomal RNA, 1222 nt
Filed under: Apilactobacillus kunkeei
Lineage: Bacteria; Bacillati; Bacillota; Bacilli; Lactobacillales; Lactobacillaceae
Description: bacterial SSU rRNA
Rfam family: Bacterial small subunit ribosomal RNA
Source: RNAcentral